RNAcentral lists this non-coding RNA (24 nucleotides) under Arabidopsis thaliana (thale cress). Lineage: Eukaryota; Viridiplantae; Streptophyta; Magnoliopsida; Brassicales; Brassicaceae. The record is from RNAcentral.
GUAUUAUGGAGCUUUUAUUGACAC